Molecule: ribosomal RNA, 440 nt
Filed under: uncultured bacterium
Lineage: Bacteria
Description: bacterial SSU rRNA
Rfam family: Bacterial small subunit ribosomal RNA
Source: RNAcentral
GCAUAACGCGAAGAACCUUACCUACACUUGACAUGCCUCUUGGGACUUUCAGAGAUGAUUGUUUUCGGUUCGGCCGGGGAGUGCACAGGUGCUGCAUGGCUGUCGUCAGCUCGUGUCGUGAGAUGUUGGGUUAAGUCCCGCAACGAGCGCAACCCUUAUCGUAUGUUGCCAGCAUUUAGUUGAGCACUCAUGCGAGACUGCCGGUGAUAAGCCGGAGGAAGGCGGGGACGACGUCAAGUCAUCAUGGCCCUUACGUGUAGGGCUACAAACGUGCUACAAUGGCGUUAACAAUGGGCAGCGAGGCAGCGAUGCCAAGCUAAUCCUUAAAUAACGUCUCAGCUCGGAUUGUACUCUGCAACUCGAGUACAUGAAGUUGGAAUCGCUAGUAAUCGCAAAUCAGCAUGUUGCGGUGAGUACGUUCCCGGGUCUUGUACACACCG